Heterocephalus glaber (naked mole-rat) is the source of this 616-nucleotide long non-coding RNA. The record is from Ensembl. Lineage: Eukaryota; Metazoa; Chordata; Mammalia; Rodentia; Bathyergidae.
GCUCGCGCGAGGGGAGGGCGGGGCGCAGGGAGGUGCCGCGGAGGGAGGGAGGUGCCGCGGAGGGAGGGAGGGAGAGAUUCCGCCUUGUCCUGCUGUCGGGUUCGCUUCUCUCGCUUUGGUAAACUGACGUCGCGUAGGACUCUGGUUCGAAUCCCGCCGUCACGCGUAGUCGGCUCUGAGUCCCCGCCCUGCCAGAAGCUGACUCUGCGGUGAGCUUGAGGGAGUUACUUGGCAUCUCCUCGCCAAGGCCGACUUUUCUGACACGAUGGCGUUUAACCUGGGGGGUUGGUGUGAGGAGAAUAGAAAUUAGUGCGCGUAAAGCUACCGCAGUAGCGGUGCCGGCGACCUAGAGCGUGAAGCUGGUGCUGCUUGGGUUCAUCUUUUCCAGUCCGCCUUGAGCCGGUGAGCCAAGCAAGGGAUAGAAAAUGAAGGGCACUUCUGCUACCGAAUACAUGGAGGGAGGAAGGUGCCACCAGGAAACACCAAAUGGUUCCCUGUGGUAAGACACUAGCUAUUAGGAGGAAACAGGAAAAGGAAGAGGAGAGCACAGAGACAGACCCAGGAGAUGGCCAUAGGAAAACACCACACUAAUGAAGAUGGAGGCAGAGACCAGAGC